This 549-nucleotide ribosomal RNA is filed under the name uncultured bacterium. Its description in RNAcentral is "bacterial SSU rRNA". It matches the Rfam family "Bacterial small subunit ribosomal RNA", at positions 355 to 896 of the family's 1533-position model. The record is from RNAcentral.
UGGGGAAUAUUGGACAAUGGGCGAAAGCCUGAUCCAGCCAUGCCGCGUGUGUGAAGAAGGCCUUAUGGUUGUAAAGCACUUUAAGUGGGGAGGAAAAGCUUAUGGAUAACACCCAUAGGUUCUGACGUUACCCACAGAAUAAGCACCGGCUAACUCUGUGCCAGCAGCCGCGGUAAUACAGUGGGUGCAAGCGUUAAUCGGAAUUACUGGGCGUAAAGCGAGCGUAGGUGGUUUAUUAAGUCAGAUGUGAAAUCCCUGGGCUUAACCUAGGAACUGCAUCUGAUACUGAUAAACUAGAGUAGGUGAGAGGAAAGUAGAAUUCCAGGUGUAGCGGUGAAAUGCGUAGAGAUCUGGAGGAAUACCGAUGGCGAAGGCAGCUUUCUGGCAUCACACUGACACUGAGGUUCGAAAGCGUGGGUAGCAAACAGGAUUAGAUACCCUGGUAGUCCACGCCGUAAACGAUGUCUACCAGUCGUUGGGUCUUUUAAAGGCUUAGUGACGCAGUUAACGCGAUAAGUAGACCGCCUGGGGAGUACGGCCGCAAGGUUA